UGGGGAAUAUUGGACAAUGGGCGAAAGCCUGAUCCAGCCAUGCCGCGUGUGUGAAGAAGGUCUUCGGAUUGUAAAGCACUUUAAGUUGGGAGGAAGGGCAUUAACCUAAUACGUUAGUGUUUUGACGUUACCGACAGAAUAAGCACCGGCUAACUCUGUGCCAGCAGCCGCGGUAAUACAGAGGGUGCAAGCGUUAAUCGGAAUUACUGGGCGUAAAGCGCGCGUAGGUGGUUUGUUAAGUUGGAUGUGAAAGCCCCGGGCUCAACCUGGGAACUGCAUCCAAAACUGGCAAGCUAGAGUACGGUAGAGGGUGGUGGAAUUUCCUGUGUAGCGGUGAAAUGCGUAGAUAUAGGAAGGAACACCAGUGGCGAAGGCGACCACCUGGACUGAUACUGACACUGAGGUGCGAAAGCGUGGGGAGCAAACAG
RNAcentral lists this ribosomal RNA (428 nucleotides) under uncultured bacterium. RNAcentral's name for it is "bacterial SSU rRNA". It matches the Rfam family "Bacterial small subunit ribosomal RNA", at positions 355 to 775 of the family's 1533-position model. The record is from RNAcentral.